RNAcentral lists this transfer RNA (111 nucleotides) under Colletotrichum fructicola Nara gc5. RNAcentral's name for it is "tRNA-Leu for anticodon CAA". It matches the Rfam family "tRNA". From Rfam's summary of the family: Transfer RNA (tRNA) molecules are approximately 80 nucleotides in length. Their secondary structure includes four short double-helical elements and three loops (D, anti-codon, and T loops). The record is from Rfam by way of RNAcentral. RNAcentral also lists the same sequence under 5 other names. Lineage: Eukaryota; Fungi; Ascomycota; Sordariomycetes; Glomerellales; Glomerellaceae.
GGCAACUUGGCCGAGCGGUCUAAGGCGCCAGACUCAAGCGACGAGCUUGUCCUUCCAAAGGAUAGUAUUCUGGUAUCGAAAGAUGCGUGAGUUCGAAUCUCACAGUUGUCA